UCUAGCUAACCCGACACGUAUUAGAAGCACUGCCUGCCCAGUGACAUUGAUUUAACGGCCACGGUAUUUUGACCGUGCAAAGGUAGCAUAAUCACUUGUUUUUUAAAUAAAGACUUGUAUGAAUGGCAAAACGAAAGCUUAACUGUCUCCACUGUCCAGCCAGUGAAACUGAUCUUCCUGUUCAAAAGCAGGAAUAAAAAUGUAAGACGAAAAGACCCUAUGGAACUUUAGACACAAAUCAGCUAUGCCAACAGACCGCAUAUGCCAUGAUCCACAUCUUUAGUUGGGGCGACUGCGGAGAACAAAAAUCCUCCGUGAUAUCUACUAAAUUACACAAAACUAAGUACCAAGACACUUGAAACAGCUGAUCCAAUAAAAUUGAUCAACGAACUAAGCUACCCUAGGGAUAACAGCGCAAUCUUCUUACAGAGGCCAUAUCGACAAGAAGGUUUACGACCUCGAUGUUGGAUCAGGAUAUCCAGACAGUGUAGCCGCUGUCACAGGUUUGUUUGUUCAACAAUUAAAAUCCUACGUGAUCU
Molecule: ribosomal RNA, 539 nt
Filed under: Typhlonectes natans (Rio Cauca caecilian)
Lineage: Eukaryota; Metazoa; Chordata; Amphibia; Gymnophiona; Typhlonectidae
Description: partial 16S ribosomal RNA
Rfam family: Bacterial large subunit ribosomal RNA
Source: RNAcentral